UCUCUCUUUCUCUGUCUGUCUCUCUCUCUCGGUCUCUGUCUCUCUGUCUCAGGCAGUGAGACACAGAGCAGCUAAUUGUGUGAAGGCCACACAGACAAUGUUUCUUCCUCUCAUUCCAGCUGCCUAGGCCCUACUGUACUCGCACACGCUGGGCUUCCUCCUCAUCGCUGAAAAGGGGCCUAGGACCAACACACACAGACCUGUGAUCCUGUUACACACCCGCUUUAAAUUCAACACAGACACAGAGAAGGAAGAAGUGGUUGUGGGGAGAGAAAGAGAAGGGAAAGAGAAACCAGCAGCCUUCCUGAGUGGAAUCAGUACCAGUGCCAACAAAAUUCUUUAAAAUGCCAAAUAGAUGCAUAGCAUUCAGUAUGCUCUAAAAUGUUCUAAUCUAGACUGACAUUCUGAGAGAGUGAGAGAGGGAAGCAUCCUCAGAGCAUCACAGGAUAGGACAGGACAAAGACAGGACAGAAUAGGAUAAUGACAGGUUAGGAUAGGACAUGAUGGGACAAGGGAAGGAUAGGACAGGGUAGGAUAGGACAGGACAGGACAGAAUAGGAUAAUGACAGGUUAGGAUAGGACAUGAUGGGACAAUGGAAGGAUAGGACAGGGUAGGAAGGACAGGACAGGACAAAGACAGGACAGAAUAGGAUAAUGACAGGUUAGGAUAGGACAUGAUGGGACAAUGGAAGGAUAGGACAGGGUAGGAAGGACAGGACAGGACAAAGACAGGACAGAAUAGGAUAAUGACAGGUUAGGAUAGGACAUGAUGGGACAAGGGUAGGAUGGGACAGGGCAGGAUAGGACAGGGCUGGAUAGGACAGGGCAGGAUAGGCCAGGACAAGGACAGGUUUUG
Molecule: long non-coding RNA, 856 nt
Filed under: Salmo salar (Atlantic salmon)
Lineage: Eukaryota; Metazoa; Chordata; Actinopteri; Salmoniformes; Salmonidae
Description: lncRNA (ENSSSAG00000091332.1)
Source: RNAcentral